This 433-nucleotide ribosomal RNA is filed under the name uncultured bacterium. Its description in RNAcentral is "partial 16S ribosomal RNA". It matches the Rfam family "Bacterial small subunit ribosomal RNA", at positions 29 to 507 of the family's 1533-position model. The record is from RNAcentral.
AGCGAACGCUGGCGGCAGGCCUAACACAUGCAAGUCGAACGAACUCUUCGGAGUUAGUGGCGGACGGGUGAGUAACACGUGGGAACGUGCCUUUUGGUUCGGAAUAACUCAGGGAAACUUGUGCUAAUACCGAAUGUGCCCUUCGGGGGAAAGAUUUAUCGCCAUUAGAGCGGUCCGCGUCUGAUUAGCUAGUUGGUGAGGUAACGGCUCACCAAGGCGACGAUCAGUAGCUGGUCUGAGAGGAUGACCAGCCACACUGGGACUGAGACACGGCCCAGACUCCUACGGGAGGCAGCAGUGGGGAAUCUUGCGCAAUGGGCGAAAGCCUGACGCAGUCAUGCCGCGUGAAUGAUGAAGGUCUUAGGAUUGUAAAAUUCUUUCACCGGGGACGAUAAUGACGGUACCCGGAGAAGAAGCCCCGGCUAACUUCGUG